UCUACUGUACCCCUCACAUGGCCUCCGAGUAUAGACCCUCAUCCAGGGUUAAAAAAAAAUUGGGAUAAGUAUUGGCCGAGGUCGAUUCCAAUUAUAGCAGAUCCGGCUCGGGCGACCCAUUCCAAAAACUAGGGUUAGGGUUUAUUUGGGCCGAUUCCGAUAUUGAUUAUGGGUUUUAAAAUCCUGCCCUCAGUUUGGGCCCAGGAGAGUGUGUGCGAUCGGUCGUCACCUGAGUAGAUCGCUGGGAUUGUGUUUCUUCGGCGACAUUUUUAUUUUUCAAUGUUCUUUCUCUCUCUCUCUCUCUCUCUCUCUCUUUCUCUCUCUCUCUCUCUUACCGUGUUUCUGCAAUUGGCUUACAAACAGGGAAUACAGAAGCCAGGUGGGGAUUAGGACCAGAGUGCUGGAAAUAGUGAAGAAUAAUGAGUCCACGACUCGGGAGGACUGGUGUGGAAGACGAGUAAGCUUAACUCCACCAGAAAUGCUGACGCCAAGAAAUGGCUUAUCAAGGAACUGUUAAAAUAUGAGCUUCUGCAAGAGGGUAACUUCUAGUCGUAGACAAGGAAAUAUAGAAUGAGAAUCUGAGACUGCUGGAAGCGUGCGAUGGAUAAUUUCUAGCCUUUCUACUUCUUCUGUUAAUGAGCUCAUCAAUAUAGGCAUGAGAUGGAGCGGCAUCUAGAAUGAGCAGGAGCCCAAUUGCUGUUGACCAGUUAACAAUUCAAGCAACUCAUUUCUCACAAACGACAGUCAACGGGCAUAUCUAAAGCCACUGAGCUCGGGCUUGAUUGGCUGAUGGAUCCUGAUGAUUCUGGAUACGGUGGUUGGUGCUUGGGGAGGCUUAGAGUAUCCAUCAUCUGUGACCAUUGAAGACCCUCCCCAUGCCAUAUUUCAUUAGAAAGGCAGGCAUGAAAGCAUAGAAUCAAAUGGAGUUCAGAAGAUCCUCUGCAAAGCCCUUCUUAGAUUAUAAAAAUAAAACGAGGGGAAAACGUUGGUAGACUGUGGAGAGCCCCAGAUAUUAACCAAUUUUAAUAUAGCUCUUCAUUGGAACUGGCAAUUGCUCCACCACUCUUGCAGACAUCGGCCUCAGGGAUGAUUGAAGCGGGCAAUGGAAAAGAAAACACCUUGCGCUUCAAAUACUGAAGGACGAGCUCUUCGUCCGUAGGAUGGAAUCUGAAGCCUGGAGGUAGUUUUACUAUUCCUUU
Long non-coding RNA from Macadamia integrifolia, 1199 nucleotides. RefSeq lists it as uncharacterized. The record is from RefSeq and is a predicted model, not a curated record. NCBI's taxonomy places the organism in Eukaryota, Viridiplantae, Streptophyta, Magnoliopsida, Proteales, Proteaceae. The transcript has 6 exons.